GGGGAUGUAGCUCAGUUGAUAGAGUGCUUACCUAGCAUGCAUGACAUCCUGGGUUCUAAUCCUGGCUCCCUA
Molecule: transfer RNA, 72 nt
Filed under: Mus musculus (house mouse)
Lineage: Eukaryota; Metazoa; Chordata; Mammalia; Rodentia; Muridae
Rfam family: tRNA
About the family: Transfer RNA (tRNA) molecules are approximately 80 nucleotides in length. Their secondary structure includes four short double-helical elements and three loops (D, anti-codon, and T loops).
Source: Rfam by way of RNAcentral